GUCCACGCCCUAACGAUGCAUAUUUGGUGUGGGCAGUUCAUUCUGUCCGUGCCGGAGCUAACGCGUUAAAUAUGCCGCCUGGGGAGUACAGUCGCAAGGCUGAAACUCAAAGGAAUUGACGGGGGCCCGCACAAGCGGUGGAGCAUGUGGUUCAAUUCGACGCAACGCGAAGAACCUUACCUGGGCUCGAACGGCUGGUCAACGACGGUGGAAACAUCGUUACUCCGCAAGGGGGUCCAGUCGAGGUGCUGCAUGGCUGUCGU
This 263-nucleotide ribosomal RNA is filed under the name uncultured bacterium. RNAcentral describes it as "partial 16S ribosomal RNA". It matches the Rfam family "Bacterial small subunit ribosomal RNA", at positions 793 to 1055 of the family's 1533-position model. The record is from RNAcentral.